UACAGAGGUCUCAAGCGUUGUUCGGAUUCAUUGGGCGUAAAGGGCGCGUAGGCGGCCGUCCAAGUCGGGUGUGAAAUCCCUCGGCUCAACCGAGGAACUGCACUCGAUACUGGUCGGCUAGAGUCCGGGAGGGGAUGGUGGAAUUCCCAGUGUAGCGGUGAAAUGCGCAGAUAUCAGGAAGAACACCUAUGGCGAAGGCAGCUCUCUGGGACGGUACUGACGCUGAGACGCGAAAGCGUGGGGAGCGAACAGG
Molecule: ribosomal RNA, 253 nt
Filed under: uncultured bacterium
Lineage: Bacteria
Description: partial 16S ribosomal RNA
Rfam family: Bacterial small subunit ribosomal RNA
Source: RNAcentral